UGGUGGAGUGAUUUGUCUGGUUAAUUCCGUUAACGAACGAGACCCCUGCCUGCUAAAUAGCUUGCAUAGUGAUUUUCACUGUGCGAAGCUUCUUAGAGGGACGUGCAUUCUAUUAGAUGCAGGAAGAUAGGGGCAAUAACA
RNAcentral lists this ribosomal RNA (141 nucleotides) under uncultured eukaryote. RNAcentral describes it as "partial 18S ribosomal RNA". It matches the Rfam family "Eukaryotic small subunit ribosomal RNA", at positions 1299 to 1458 of the family's 1831-position model. The record is from RNAcentral.